UACACCUUUCUACCAUAGGCUUGCAAGGACUCUAAAAAUCGAUCGACAUACAAUGAAUAUGCACCUUUCAAGGACUUUUCGGGUUAUAGCGUGGCUUAGGAUUAUUGAAGGGUGGAUAUAUUUUUUGGGAAACUAGGUAGAAAAACUUGAAGCUUUUAAGAUCACAUAUUUCAAACAAAAGUGGACAAAUCAAUUGAUCCCCCCAAAAUCAUCAAAUUCAUACUAGAGAACUUAGUUUUCACAAUUUUUUUCCUCAUGCAAAUGAAUUCACAGUGUGUGAACUCAUUCCAUGCUCACAUUUUUUUCACAAAGAAGUCCCUCGACAAAAUUUUUUUAUAUUCAUUUUUUUUCCAAACAUGGUGUUAUGCAUUUUGCAUUCUCUUUAUUUAUUUAUUUUUCAUUUCUUUCACCAUUUCCUUUCUUUUCAUGAGAGACAUUCUCUUCAUAUUUUUUUUUUUUUCACAAACUUUUUCAAAAUAUUUUUCUUUUAGUUCUCUAGUACCCCACCCCAAACUUAAUAGGUUGCAAAUCCCAAGAGCAACCCCAAACUUAAUGAUGAGCAUUGUGCUCAAAUCACAAGUUAGGUGAUCAACUUCAAGAAAAUCAUCUUCUUUUUUUUUUGUAAAAAUUAUGUGGUUUUUAAAAAGAAGUAAGAUCAAAAUAUUUUUCUUUCAAUAAGGCUCAAAGGGGCUAGCAAGGGAUAAUAAUAUUCAAAGGUCGGCUACAAAGGCUCAAGCUCACAAAAACGUGCCUCGGUGCAUUAUUCAUCGCAAUCAAUCAAUCAAAAGAAUUCAAGCAAAUUCUAGAGAAUAGGAGAGACGUGGAACUCACAUAGUCAACAAAGAAAUUUAAGUGUUUAGGCUCAAGACCUCACAGUUAGGAUAACAGAGAAGAAUUAGAGCCAUUAGGAAU
Molecule: long non-coding RNA, 912 nt
Filed under: Trifolium pratense (red clover)
Lineage: Eukaryota; Viridiplantae; Streptophyta; Magnoliopsida; Fabales; Fabaceae
Description: long non-coding RNA (TPRA_LNC006605)
Source: RNAcentral